UUUUCCUCGGAAAAAACCGAUGAAUUCCGAGGAAAUAUUAUAGCCGUUAGAGAGCCGUUGGGGGAUUUUACAAAAUUCCGGGGAAAUUCCGACGAACAAGACUUUUCCGUCGGAAUUCCGUCGGAAUUUCCUCGGUAUGUCGGCAGGAUUUAAACUAUAAAUACAAGCACUCCUCUUCCUCUUCUUUCACUCCAUACCUUCAUCCUCCCUCUUACUCUAUUUACACACGAAUUUGAUUCAUA
This 242-nucleotide long non-coding RNA is filed under the name Brassica napus (rape). RNAcentral describes it as "long non-coding RNA (BNAP_LNC016455)". Lineage: Eukaryota; Viridiplantae; Streptophyta; Magnoliopsida; Brassicales; Brassicaceae. The record is from RNAcentral.